UGCACCGUUGUCUAAUGGUUAGGAUUCAUCCCUCCCACGGAUGAGGUCGGGGUUCGAUUCCCCGGCGGCGCAC
This 73-nucleotide transfer RNA is filed under the name Phytophthora infestans (potato late blight agent). RNAcentral describes it as "tRNA-Gly". It matches the Rfam family "tRNA". Rfam says of the family: Transfer RNA (tRNA) molecules are approximately 80 nucleotides in length. Their secondary structure includes four short double-helical elements and three loops (D, anti-codon, and T loops). Further hydrogen bonds mediate the characteristic L-shaped molecular structure. tRNAs have two regions of fundamental functional importance: the anti-codon, which is responsible for specific mRNA codon recognition, and the 3' end, to which the tRNAs corresponding amino acid is attached (by aminoacyl-tRNA synthetases). tRNAs cope with the degeneracy of the genetic code in two manners: having more than one tRNA (with a specific anti-codon) for a particular amino acid; and 'wobble' base-pairing, i.e. permitting non-standard base-pairing at the 3rd anti-codon position. Lineage: Eukaryota; Oomycota; Peronosporomycetes; Peronosporales; Peronosporaceae. The record is from RNAcentral.